CUCCAGCACUGCCAGCACAUGCUGAACUAAGGCUACCUUGCGCGUGCUGUAGUUGCAUUUCUAAUGGUCCUGCAGGUACAUCAACACCGCAACCCCUAAAACACAGCAGAAACCAAGCCUAGCUCCUUCCUCAUUCCCUUUCAUACGAGGCCUGUGGGGUAUGUAUCUAGCAACCAAGAAUGGACUUUCCCUUCUCUUUACAACCCAGACCCACCUUUGACUUGGUCCUUGUCUCUUGUUCAGCACCUUCAGAACUCCUUCACCGACAACAGGCUUAGCAUCUUAAUCAUCUACUUUUUCCCUCCACAGCUGCCUCCACACCCUUCCAAGGCGGAGGAUGGUGUAAGACGACUAGAUGGGGCUUCCAAAAAUCUCAGCUUCCCCCUCAUAAAUAGACCAGGGACCCACAGCAAAGGCAGGAAUUGUAAACGUGGAAGAUGAGUUCCCCAGCUUCCUGCUCUUCAGGGCAUCCUGUAAGGCCCAGGCCAAGAUGAGGUUCCCAGACUUCCUAGUCUCCCUCCUCACAAAGCUGAAAGCCACGGCACAGCAGCAACUGGGACUCGUAGACAUAUAGCUCUGUGCAAAACUGGAAGCUGCAAAUCAGAUGAGAGAGCAAAGAGGGAAGCAGAAAGAUUCUUACCUUUAUUCUACCCCCAAGCUCAUCAGGCCAGAUAGGUCUCUACAAAACAUUCUGGACAACAAGCGUUUCCACCUGGACCUAAUUGGGCUCGUUGAGAACAAACAAAUUUAACAAGACUGAGUUCUGUUUGAACAUUAUAGUCCCUAGGAACAGUCUGAUUUAUAAAAUAAUGGGCCAUUUGCAUCAUAAAAGUUAACGGUACUAAGAGGUUUGGGGUUAUUAAACAUUGUAGUGGAUUAUUUCUUGUAUGUGGUACAAGGGAAAGGGGAAGUAAGUUGCAUACCACAGUAUUUACAAUUUCCCCCACUCUUCUUGUAGCCAAGGCAACAAGGCUGCUUACAUGUUGCGGUUUCUAACUUACAAGAUGCUCUCCUCUGGUUGCAUAAUAUUAGCACAAUUAUGAAAUAUUAAGUUCUGUCUUUUUUAUGUUUUUGUAAUCCUAACUGGCUGAUUUUCACUGUACCUCUUUCUCCUUUUCUCCUGUUUGUCCUGUACUUAGAGGAAAUACAUUACCUGUAGUAGCAUUUCCAAGACUCUCAGCAUUUGCUUUUACCAUCUGGAUACAGCUAUCAACUUGAUCUCCAUAAGUUACACACUGUUUAAGCAUUUGUUCUUUCCAACAGUCUGUACAGUUGUGAGGUGAAAACACUCCAUGUUAUAAAGUGCUAUUUAACAAAUAAAUAAACCGAAGAAACCA
Molecule: long non-coding RNA, 1337 nt
Filed under: Struthio camelus australis
Lineage: Eukaryota; Metazoa; Chordata; Aves; Struthioniformes; Struthionidae
Description: lncRNA (ENSSCUG00000006556.1)
Source: RNAcentral